Phoenix dactylifera (date palm) is the source of this 1161-nucleotide non-coding RNA. The record is from RefSeq and is a predicted model, not a curated record. Lineage: Eukaryota; Viridiplantae; Streptophyta; Magnoliopsida; Arecales; Arecaceae.
UUGGCAUCGCGAUCGCGAUCCCGCGGGCGAUCCCACAGGCAAUCGCGAUCGCGAUCCUGCGGCUGAUCCCACGGUCAAUCUCCCUCGCGAUCCCACGAACCCGCAGGCGAUGGCGAUCGCGAGCCGCGAGCAGGAUUGCGAUCGCGAUCUUCUUCUCCACAACGAUCGCAGGGGAUAACAGCGAACGCGAUCUUCUUCUCCACAGCAAUCUUUCUUGAAUUCAUUCUUUUUUUCGGAUCUGCAAGUAUUAUCUGUUUCUCUUUUUUUGUUUCCAGUUGGUUCUAAAUAGGACAAGCAGUCGCGAUCACGAUCUUCUUCUCCACAACGAUCAUGGGGGAUAACAGCAAUCACGAUCUUCUUCUCCUCAGCGAUCUUUCUUGAAUUCAUUCUUUGUUUUGGAUCUUUGGUUCUAAAUACGGAAAGUAGUCUUCAAAAUUCCAAGGGUGUCUUCUCCCUCUCACCCUUUGAUUCUUGAGAUUUCAACUUUGCCGAUUAGUAGAUUCUUUAUCUUUGCUCUGAUUCAGCAAAAGAGUGCAGUACAACAAUAUCAACCUCAAAGUUUGGCUCUAGAUUUGAUCACAUGUUUUGCUGGAGUAGUGGAGAUUAUGUUGGAGAUUAAUAUCUCCACAAACUAUCUUAUUAAAUAUAUUUUUUCAGCCAACAUCUCUUUAACAAAAGAAUGUAAUUUAUCAAGAUUCCCAUGUUACACAUAAUCCUUUCAUUCCUUAUCUCUGGUUUCUCACAAAUAGUGCAACAUUCUUUUGUUAAUGAUGUUUGCCUCAUUUUGUGGUGAUCUACACUAUAUUCUAGUUCACAAGGUUGGGUGUCAUAUGCCAGCAAUGCCAUUUCCAUCAAAGCACUGAAACAGAGAACCAUCUGUUGGUUUCAUUCUAUGACCAAAUCAAGGUUAUGUUCAGAAUGGAAGCCCAAAACAAGGUGAACUGUACCAAAUCCGAAUCAUCAAAGGCAUCCUACUGAAACAACAAAAAUCAUUAAAGAGCAUCGGACAAGAGAGUAACAGAUUUCCUAGUGCUAGUUACCUGAUUUCUCCCAACAACAUGGCGAUGGGAUUAGGUUUGCUAUAUAUAUUUAUAUGUCAAGUACCCAACUUCCAUUCAUGCAACUUCUACAUUAUUUAAUUUGCUGGCUUUCUCCAAUCCC